This 700-nucleotide ribosomal RNA is filed under the name Fusarium oxysporum. RNAcentral's name for it is "SSU rRNA". It matches the Rfam family "Bacterial small subunit ribosomal RNA", at positions 366 to 949 of the family's 1533-position model. Lineage: Eukaryota; Fungi; Ascomycota; Sordariomycetes; Hypocreales; Nectriaceae. The record is from RNAcentral.
GGUCAAUGGCCUAACGGCUGAACUGGCAACUUGGAGAAGUGGCAAGUCUUCCAGUAUGGGGAGCAAAACAGCUAUGGGUCAAGUCCGAUAUCUUUAGGAGAAGUCUUAUUGUGAGGGCGAGUUAUAUAACACCAUAGGACUGGCCGUCCCAUAUGAAAAGAUUAUAUUAGAAUUGAAUGAAGCUUUGUUUAUAUAUUGAUAAUGACAGUAUAUAUAUCGUGUCUUGACUAAUUGCGUGCCAGCAGUCGCGGUAAUACGUAAGAGACUAGUGUUAUUCAUCUUAAUUAGGUUUAAAGGGUACCCAGACGGUCAAUAUAGCUUAUAAAAUGUUAGUACUUGACUAGAGUUUUAUGUAAGAGGGCAGUACUUGAGGAGGAGAGAUGAAAUUUCGUGAUACCAAAGGGACUCUGUAAAGGCGAAGGCAGCCCUCUAUGUAAAAACUGACGUUGAAGGACGAAGGCACAGAGAACAAACAGGAUUAGAUACCCAAGUAGUCUUUGCAGUAAAUGAUGAAUGCCAUAGGUUAGAUUGGUCAAUUAUAGUCUAGGGUUAGUCUAGCAAACUAAUGCCCUGUGCUAUAAUUCAAAAUAUCUGGUCUAUAAAUGAAAGUGUAAGCAUUUCACCUCAAGAGUAAUGUGGCAACGCAGGAACUGAAAUCACUAGACCGUUUCUGACACCAGUAGUGAAGUAUGUUAUUUAA